GAAAGAAACGGGCAGCUAAUGUCCUCCUUUGUCUCACAGCUUUCCGUUGCCUCUGUCAGUUAACCGUCAGAAGUAAUUAAGAUCUUUAAGUUAACGUGGAUCAUACCUGUUGCUUCGCAGGCUGCCAGGUGCGCAAUUUCCUGGGGAAACUCCGGUGUUAGGCAGCAGGCUUCACGGGGUUCUUGCAGCUCUGAAUGCAAAUGGCCGGUUACGCAGAACUGCCAAUUCCUGGAAGCACAGUCCUAUGGCAGAAACACAAAGGGUAACAGAAAGUUACUCAACGAAACGUGCUUAGGAGACAGUCAGCAGCUUUGACAUAGAGAAAAAAAGUCCCAAAGACAAAGUAAUCUGUAACACCUUGUACUUUAUAGGCAAGUAAGACAAGACCCAUUUUGGACAGACAAGUGUUUUCUAAGUAGUUACAAUUUUCCCCCCCCCCUGGAAUAUUUUUUGCACAGAGGCAGUCUAAACUGACUGCCCCAGGAGGUUACACUUUUCUAAUUUGUUCAGAAUAUCCUUCUAAUUUAAUUUGUCUUUCUUGGCAUGUGUCGGUAGGAAAAAUCACUUAGGGGCAUGAGGGUGAGGAAGAGCAAUGUUAAUGAAUAUUGCAGUAGUUCUGCCUGCUCAGCAUGGCCAGAAGCAAGAUUUUGUGGAUUUACUAGUGUGUACUGGCCUAAUGUGAAGACUACAUCACCUGUGAGUCAGAAGCUCUAGAUUUUAUUCCUAUUACAGCUUGUAUGCUAGGUGGGCAUACUGUAGCUGUUAUAAGACAGAUCUGCCUACUAGCAAAAUCGAGAAUUAGGGUAACAUCAACAGUGCUCCACAGUUCAGCAUAGGCCACAGCAUUUGCUAUACUGUCAUUAUCCCCUUGUAGCAAAAUAAACUUUUUUGUCCUUUCAGAUUUACAAAAUCUUUCAAAACUGUUCCACUUAAAAACGUUUUCCUCAAAUACUGAAAAGCUGGAAAAAACAACCUGUAAAUAAAAUCACCCUGCUUAAGUCAA
This is a long non-coding RNA of Numida meleagris (helmeted guineafowl), 1003 nucleotides long. RefSeq lists it as uncharacterized. The record is from RefSeq and is a predicted model, not a curated record. The transcript is spliced from 2 exons. Lineage: Eukaryota; Metazoa; Chordata; Aves; Galliformes; Numididae.